AGCUGAGGCCGAAAGGCGUAGGUGAUGGACAACAGGUUGAUAUUCCUGUACUACCGAUAACCGUUUGAGAGAAGGGAUGACACAGUAGGAUAAGCUAAGCACACUGUUGGUUAUGUGUGCCCAAGCAUUGAGGCAGUCAAAGUAGGCAAAUCCGCUUUGAUAAUGCUGGGAUGUGAUGGGGAGCGAAAUUUAGUAGCGAAGUAGCUGAUUUCACACUGUCAAGAAAAGUCUCUAUCGAGGUUAAAGGUACCCGUACCGCAAACCGACACAGGUGGGUGAGGAGAGUAUCCUAAGGCCAGCGAGAGAACUGUUGUUAAGGAACUCGGCAAAAUGACCCCGUAACUUAGGGAUAAGGGGUGCCACCAUCAGGUGGCCGCAGAGAAUAGGCCCAAGCGACUGUUUACCAAAAACAUAGGUUUCUGCUAAGUCGCAAGACGAUGUAUAGGAGCUGACGCCUGCCCGGUGCUGGAAGGUUAAGGGGAUCUGUUAGAGCAAUCGAAGCAGUGAACUUAAGCCCCAGUAAACGGCGGCCGUAACUAUAACGGUCCUAAGGUAGCGAAAUUCCUUGUCGGGUAAGUUCCGACCCGCACGAAAGGCGUAACGAUUUGGGCACUGUCUCAACAACAGACUCGGUGAAAUUGUAAUUCCGGUGAAGAUGCCGGAUACCUGCGACAGGACGGAAAGACCCCAUGGAGCUUUACUGUAGCUUGACAUUGGGUCUUGGUACUACAUGUACAGGAUAGGUGGGAGGCUUUGAAACCAGGACGCCAGUUUUGGCGGAGCCAUCCUUGGGAUACCACCCUUGUAGUACUGGGACUCUAACCAUAGGCCAUGAAUCUGGUCUUGGGACACUGUCAGGUGGGCAGUUUGACUGGGGCGGUCGCCUCCCAAAAGGUAACGGAGGCGCUCAAAGGUUCUCUCAGUACGGUCGGAAAUCGUACGUAGAGUGUAAAGGCAAAAGAGAGCUUGAUUGCAAGACAUACAGGUCGAGCAAGGAUGAAAAUCGGACUUAGUGAUCCGGUGGUUCUGCGUGGAAGGGCCAUCGCUCAACGGAUAAAAGCUACCCUGGGGAUAACAGGCUUAUCUCCCCCAAGAGUCCACAUCGACGGGGAGGUUUGGCACCUCGAUGUCGGCUCAUCACAUCCUGGGGCUGUAGUAGGUCCCAAGGGUUGGGCUGUUCGCCCAUUAAAGUGGUACGCGAGCUGGGUUCAGAACGUCGUGAGACAGUUCGGUCCCUAUCCGUCGCAGGCGUAGGAAAUUUGAGAAGACCUGUCCUUAGUACGAGAGGACCGGGAUGGACG
This 1301-nucleotide ribosomal RNA is filed under the name Clostridioides difficile. RNAcentral's name for it is "partial 23S ribosomal RNA". It matches the Rfam family "Bacterial large subunit ribosomal RNA", at positions 1394 to 2703 of the family's 2925-position model. Lineage: Bacteria; Bacillati; Bacillota; Clostridia; Peptostreptococcales; Peptostreptococcaceae. The record is from RNAcentral.